ACGUAGGGGGCGAGCGUUGUCCGAAUUUACUGGGCGUAAAGCGCGCGUAGGCGGACUAUUAAGUUGGUGGUGAAAUCCCGAGGCUCAACCUCGGAACUGCCUCCAAAACUGUUAGUCUUGAGGUAUGGAGAGGAAAGUGGAAUUCCUGGUGUAGCGGUGAAAUGCGUAGAUAUCAGGAGGAACACCCAUGGCGAAGGCAGCUUUCUGGCCAUAUUCUGACGCUGAGGUGCGAAAGCUAGGGUAGCGAACGG
RNAcentral lists this ribosomal RNA (251 nucleotides) under uncultured prokaryote. RNAcentral's name for it is "partial 16S rRNA". It matches the Rfam family "Bacterial small subunit ribosomal RNA", at positions 525 to 775 of the family's 1533-position model. The record is from RNAcentral.